UUAAGCUAAAAAGAGCGCAGGGUGGAUGCCUUGGCACUAAGAGCCGAUGAAAGACGUGAUAAGCUGCGAAAAGCUUCGGGGAGGAGCAAAUAUCCUUUGAUCCGGAGAUAUCUGAAUGGGGAAACCUGGCUGAGCAAACCUCAGUCGGCGUAACGUGAAUCCAUAGCGUUACGUUGGGAACCCGCUGAACUGAAACAUCUAAGUAGGCGGAGGAAAAGAAAGAAAACUCGAUUUCCAGAGUAGCGGCGAGCGAAAUGGAAGGAGCCUAAACCUGGGUGCGUGCACCCAGGGGUUAUGGACUGCAGUAAGUGACUCGUAUGGUAACAGAACGGUCCUGGAAAGACCGGCCACAGAGGGUGAAAGCCCCGUAUGUGAAACCAGAAGAGAGCGGGCAUGUUCCAAAGUACCACGAGACACGAGAAACCUUGUGGGAAGUCGGGGGGACCACCCCCCAAGGCUAAAUACUCCUUAGUGACCGAUAGCGCAUAGUACUGUGAAGGAAAGGUGAAAAGAACCCCGGGAGGGGAGUGAAAAAGAACCUGAAACCCUGUGUUUACAAACUGUGGAACCACAUUUUAGGUGGAACCGCGUACUUUUUGUAGAACGGUCCGGCGAGUUGCCGGGACUGGCAAGGUUAAGCACUUUAGGUGUGGAGCCGAAGGGAAACCAAGUCUUAAUAGGGCGUUGAGUCAGUUCAGGCAGACCCGAAACCGGGUGAUCUACCCAUGUCCAGGUUGAAGUUUCCGUAAAAGGAAAUGGAGGACCGAACGCACAUCCGUUGAAAAGGGUGGCGAUGAGGUGUGGGUAGGGGAGAAAUUCCAAUCGAACCCGGAGAUAGCUGGUUCUCCUCGAAAUAGCUUUAGGGCUAGCCUCGUAUUAGUUUAGCGGAGGUAGAGCACUGAAUUCUUAAGGGGGCGUCAAAGCUUACCAAGAGAUAUCAAACUCCGAAUGCCGCAUAAAUGAUGUACGGGAGUCAGACUGCACGAGAUAAGUUGGGCAGUCAAAAGGGAAAGAGCCCAGACCACCAGCUAAGGUCCCAAAGUGCGUGUUAAGUGGAAAAGGAUGUGGGAUUUCGAAGACAACUAGGAUGUUGGCUCAGAAGCAGCCACACAUUCAAAGAGUGCGUAAUAGCUCACUAGUCGAGAGGUCCUGCGCCGAAAAUGUCCGGGGCUGAAACACGACACCGAAGCUGUGGAAUGUAGCAAUACAUUGGUAGAGGAGCAUUCUUAACUGCGGCGAAGCGUUACCGUAAGGAGGCGUGGAGCGUUAAGAAGAGAGAAUGCCGGAAUGAGUAGCGAGAUGGAGGUGGGAAUCCUCCAGGCCGAAUAUCUAAGGUUUCCAGAGUAAAGCUGAUCUGCUCUGGGUAAGUCGGGGCCUAAGGCGAGGUCGAAAGACGUAGUCGAUGGACAACAGGUUGAAAUUCCUGUACCGCGUAUUAUCAGAACUGUGGGGACACAGAACCGAAGCCAAACCCGGGAAUGAAAAGACCGGGGCAAGCGCCGGACUGGUUAGACUGGAAAAUCCGUUUAACAACAGGAAAGCGUGACGCGUACCGAACAAAAGUAGGGAAGUUGGUAUAGGGGCUGUCAAGAAAAGCCGCUAUUGUGUAAUACGUGCCCGUACCGUAAACCGACACAGGUGGAUGAGGAGAGAAUCCUAAGGCCGGCGGGAGAAGCAUUGUUAAGGAACUCGGCAAAAUGACCCUGUAACUUCGGGAUAAAGGGUGCCCACGAGAGUGGGCCGCAGAGAAUAGGCUCAAGCAACUGUUUAGCAAAAACACAGGUCUAUGCAAAACCGAAAGGUGAGGUAUAUGGGCUGACGCCUGCCCGGUGCUGGAAGGUUAAGAGGAGAGGUUAGGAGCAAUCCGAAGCUUUGAAUUUAAGCCCCAGUAAACGGCGGCCGUAACUAUAACGGUCCUAAGGUAGCGAAAUUCCUUGUCGGGUAAGUUCCGACCCGCACGAAAGGCGUAAUGAUUUGAGCGCUGUCUCGACAAUGCACCCGGUGAAAUUGAAGUACCAGUGAAGAUGCUGGUUACCUGCGCCAGGACGGAAAGACCCCAUGGAGCUUUACUCCAGCUUGAUACUGGGAUUCGGUACUGCAUGUACAGGAUAGGUGGGAGGCAGAGAAGGUAGGACGCCAGUCUUACCGGAGCCAUUGUUGGGAUACCACCCUUGCGGUAUUGGGUUUCUAACCUGCGGCCAUGACCUGGCCGGGGGACAAUGUCAGGUGGGGAGUUUGACUGGGGCGGUCGCCUCCGAAAGGGUAUCGGAGGCGCUCAAAGGUUCCCUCAGAAUGGACGGAAACCAUUCGAAGAGUGCAAAGGCAUAAGGGAGCUUGACUGCGACACCGACGGGUGGAGCAGGUACGAAAGUAGGACUUAGUGAUCCGGUGGUAUAAAGUGGGAUUGCCAUCGCUCAACGGAUAAAAGCUACCCUGGGGAUAACAGGCUUAUCACUCCCAAGAGUUCACAUCGACGGAGUGGUUUGGCACCUCGAUGUCGGCUCAUCGCAUCCUGGGGCUGAAGUAGGUCCCAAGGGUUGGGCUGUUCGCCCAUUAAAGC
Molecule: ribosomal RNA, 2560 nt
Filed under: human gut metagenome
Description: bacterial LSU rRNA
Rfam family: Bacterial large subunit ribosomal RNA
Source: RNAcentral